AGGAUAAACGCUGGCGGCGUGCCUUACGCAUGCAAGUCGCACGGACCUUCGGGUCAGUGGCGGACGGGUGAGUAACACGUACGUGAUCUGUCCCAAACUGGGGGAUAACCGCCCGAAAGGGUGGCUAAUACCGCAUGUGGUCUCCGUUUUGCGAUUCGGAGAGUAAAGCUUCGGCGGUUUGGGAGGAGCGUGCGGCCGAUUAGCUAGUUGGUGGGGUAACGGCCUACCAAGGCAGCGAUCGGUAGCUGGUCUGAGAGGACGGCCAGCCACACGGGGACUGAGACACGGCCCCGACUCCUACGGGAGGCAGCAGCGAGGAAUCUUGGUCAAUGGGCGAAAGCCUGAACCAGCGACGCCGCGUGGAGGAUGAAGGCCCUCGGGUCGUAAACUCCUUUUGUGUGGGAAGAAGAUCUGACGGUACCACACGAAUAAGCCACGGCUAACUCCGUGCCAGCAGCCGC
This 461-nucleotide ribosomal RNA is filed under the name uncultured bacterium. RNAcentral's name for it is "SSU rRNA". It matches the Rfam family "Bacterial small subunit ribosomal RNA", at positions 26 to 518 of the family's 1533-position model. The record is from RNAcentral.